Molecule: ribosomal RNA, 373 nt
Filed under: uncultured bacterium
Lineage: Bacteria
Description: bacterial SSU rRNA
Rfam family: Bacterial small subunit ribosomal RNA
Source: RNAcentral
GGAGGGGGCCAGCGUUGUUCGGAAUCAUUGGGCGUAAAGGGCGCGUAGGCGGCUUGGUAAGUCCGUUGUGAAAUCCCUCGGCUCAACCGAGGAACUGCGACGGAUACUGCUUGGCUUGAGUCCCGGAGAGGGUAGCGGAAUUCCCAGUGUAGCGGUGAAAUGCGUAGAUAUUGGGAGGAACAUCGGUGGCGAAGGCGGCUACCUGGACGGGUACUGACGCUGAUGCGCGAAAGCUAGGGGAGCAAACAGGAUUAGAUACCCUGGUAGUCCUAGCUGUAAACGAUGGGCACUUGGUGUUGCGGGUAUCGACCCCUGCAGUGCCGAAGCUAACGCAUUAAGUGCCCCGCCUGGGGAGUACGGUCGCAAGGCUGAA